Molecule: ribosomal RNA, 385 nt
Filed under: uncultured bacterium
Lineage: Bacteria
Description: bacterial SSU rRNA
Rfam family: Bacterial small subunit ribosomal RNA
Source: RNAcentral
AUUGAACGCUGGCGGCAUGCCUUACACAUGCAAGUCGAACGGCAGCACGGGAGCAAUCCUGGUGGCGAGUGGCGAACGGGUGAGUAAUAUAUCGGAACGUGCCCGGUCGUGGGGGAUAACGUAGCGAAAGCUACGCUAAUACCGCAUACGAUCUACGGAUGAAAGCGGGGGAUCGCAAGACCUCGCGCGAUUGGAGCGGCCGAUAUCAGAUUAGGUAGUUGGUGAGGUAAAGGCUCACCAAGCCGACGAUCUGUAGCUGGUCUGAGAGGACGACCAGCCACACUGGGACUGAGACACGGCCCAGACUCCUACGGGAGGCAGCAGUGGGAAUUUUGGACAAUGGGCGCAAGCCUGAUCCAGCAAUGCCGCGUGCAGGAUGAAGGCC